GAAUCAAACCAAAUUUAUGAGCAGAUCAGGGUGCAUAAAUGAAUUGAAUUGGUGUUGUCAAGCUAAUUAGUGCUAUGGUAAAUUGUUUAGUGCUAUGCUGAUUUCUAAUUGUUUGAAUUACAAAACAUGGAUUUAAUUGCAUCUUGGAUCUUGAUUGGCAAAUUUUAUGCUUGCAUUUUGGAAUCCAAUUGACUGAUUGAUGUUGGUGCUGUUAGAAUUUUACCUUAGGUAAUUUCUCAGCAAUACUUGAAGUAAUUCUGUUUAAUUAAGGGUUUGAAGGCUGCAACACUCGUUUUCAAAAUUCUGAUAUUGUUAGUUGGAUUUUUAUUUUUUCCUUUAGUUAGUGGCUGAAGCUUUUCUUGUCAUGGAACACCGGAAAGAAUAAGUACAUGUACAUGCCCAAAGUGUAAAUUGAAAUCACUUUUGAGAUUCCAUCAAGUGACAGAAAUGCUACAUGAGGGAAUUUUAUGCAUAGGCUUUUCAAUUGUGCAGUGGAAGCUGAAGCAGCUAUUCAGAUAGUAACUUGGCAUAUUUCAUGCUGUGGCUUGGCAUGUUGUUUAUUCUAAUUGGUCUUGUAACUUGAUAUUUUCAUAUAGUAAUUGUACUUGCUAGUAAAAGGUAUAUGAAUUUUUUUUUUUUAGGAAAUUGAUUUAUUAAAUCAUAUGUCCAGAAUUAUUGUUGUAAAUUUCAUAUUUUAGCUCGAGUGUUUUUAUUUUUA
Long non-coding RNA from Rosa chinensis, 718 nucleotides. RefSeq lists it as uncharacterized. NCBI's taxonomy places the organism in Eukaryota, Viridiplantae, Streptophyta, Magnoliopsida, Rosales, Rosaceae. The transcript is spliced from 2 exons. The record is from RefSeq and is a predicted model, not a curated record.